GAUCCUGGCUCAGGAUGAACGCUAGCGGCAGGCUUAAUACAUGCAAGUCGUGGGGGCAGCAUGGUGUGUAGCAAUACACACUGAUGGCGACCGGCAAACGGGUGCGGAACACGUACGCAACUUACCCUUAAGUGGGGGAUAGCCCGGGGAAACCCGGAUUAAUACCUCGUAAGAUUAUGGAGUGGCAUCACUUUAUAAUUAUAGCUCCGGCGCUUAAGGAUGGGCGUGCGUCCCAUUAGGUAGUUGGUUGAGGG
This 254-nucleotide ribosomal RNA is filed under the name uncultured bacterium. RNAcentral describes it as "partial 16S ribosomal RNA". It matches the Rfam family "Bacterial small subunit ribosomal RNA", at positions 15 to 259 of the family's 1533-position model. The record is from RNAcentral.